AGAGUUUGAUCAUGGCUCAGGAUUAACGCUGGCGGCGUGCAUGAGACAUGCAAGUCGAACGGACGAUCAGGGCUUGCUCUGAUCGUUAGUGGCGGACGGCUGAGUAACGCGUAGGUGACCUGCCCCGAAGUGGGGGAUAACUGCCCGAAAGGGUGGCUAAUACCGCAUGUGGUGGUUCGUUCGAUCGAAUCAUCAAAGCAGCGAUGCGCUUCGGGAGGGGCCUGCGUCCGAUUAGCUCGUUGGUGGGGUAACGGCUCACCAAGGCGACGAUCGGUAGGUGGUCUGAGAGGACGAUCACCCAGACUGGGACUGAGACACGGCCCAGACUCCUACGGGAGGCAGCAGUCGGGAAUUUUGCGCAAUGGACGAAAGUCUGACGCAGCAACGCCGCGUGAGGGAUGACGGCCUUCGGGUUGUAAACCUCUUUUCUCAGGGACGAUGAUGACGGUACCUGAGGAAGAAGCCACGGCUAACUACGUGCCAGCAGCCGCGGUAAUAC
RNAcentral lists this ribosomal RNA (499 nucleotides) under uncultured bacterium. Its description in RNAcentral is "bacterial SSU rRNA". It matches the Rfam family "Bacterial small subunit ribosomal RNA", at positions 8 to 526 of the family's 1533-position model. The record is from RNAcentral.